CACAGGUGCUGCAUGGCUGUCGUCAGCUCGUGUCGUGAGAUGUUGGUUAAGUCCGCAACGAGCGCAACCCUUGUCAUUAGUUGCUACGAAAGGGCACUCUAAUGAGACUGCCGGUGACAAACCGGAGGAAGGUGGGGAUGACGUCAAGUCCUCAUGGCCCUUAUAGGUGGGCUACACACGUCAUACAAUGGCUGGUACAAAGGGUUGCCAACCCGCAGGGGAGCCAAUCCCAUAAAGCCAGUCGUAGUCCGGAUCGCAGUCUGCAACUCGACUGCGUGAAGUCGGAAUCGCUAGUAAUCGUGGAUCAGCAUGUCACGGUGAAUACGUUCCCGGGUCUU
RNAcentral lists this ribosomal RNA (338 nucleotides) under uncultured Comamonadaceae bacterium. Its description in RNAcentral is "bacterial SSU rRNA". It matches the Rfam family "Bacterial small subunit ribosomal RNA", at positions 1033 to 1382 of the family's 1533-position model. The record is from RNAcentral. Lineage: Bacteria; Pseudomonadati; Pseudomonadota; Betaproteobacteria; Burkholderiales; Comamonadaceae.